Chlorocebus sabaeus (green monkey) is the source of this 423-nucleotide non-coding RNA. Lineage: Eukaryota; Metazoa; Chordata; Mammalia; Primates; Cercopithecidae. The record is from the annotation of a RefSeq genome assembly.
AUGAGGCUCCCUGUUCAGCUCCUGGGGCUGCUAAUGCUCUGGGUCCCUGGAUCCAGUGAGGAUAUUGUGAUGACCCAGACUCCACUCUCCCUGCCCGUCACCCCUGGAGAGCCGGCCUCCAUCUCCUGCAAGUCUAGUCAGAGCCUCUUGGAUAGUGAUGAUGGAUACACUUAUUUGGAUUGGUACCUGCAGAAGCCAGGCCAGUCUCCACAGUUUCCGAUCUAUGAUGUUUCAAGCCAGGCCUCUGGAGUCCCAGACAGGUUCAGUGGCAGUGGGUCAGGCACUGAUUUCACACUGAAAAUCAGCCGGGUGGAGGCUGAGGAGGUUGGGGUAUAUUACUGCGAAAUACAGGGUGAUGUAAACCGUUUUAUUUUCCAAAGUUCAGAAUUUGAGAUUGGGCAGACUUCGGGAAUGGGAGCAUGA